This 482-nucleotide ribosomal RNA is filed under the name uncultured bacterium. RNAcentral's name for it is "partial 16S ribosomal RNA". It matches the Rfam family "Bacterial small subunit ribosomal RNA", at positions 30 to 507 of the family's 1533-position model. The record is from RNAcentral.
AUUGAACGCUGGCGGCAUGCUUUACACAUGCAAGUCGAACGGCAGCGCGGGGCAACCUGGCGGCGAGUGGCGAACGGGUGAGUAAUAUAUCGGAACGUACCCAGAAGUGGGGGAUAACGUAGCGAAAGUUACGCUAAUACCGCAUACGAUCUACGGAUGAAAGUAGGGGACCGCAAGGCCUUAUGCUUUUGGAGCGGCCGAUAUCUGAUUAGCUAGUUGGUGAGGUAAAGGCUCACCAAGGCGACGAUCAGUAGCUGGUCUGAGAGGACGACCAGCCACACUGGAACUGAGGCACGGUCCAGACUCCUACGGGAGGCAGCAGUGGGGAAUUUUGGACAAUGGGCGCAAGCCUGAUCCAGCAAUGCCGCGUGAGUGAAGAAGGCCUUCGGGUUGUAAAGCUCUUUUGUCAGGGAAGAAACGGUAGAGGCUAAUAUCCUUUGCUAAUGACGGUACCUGAAGAAUAAGCACCGGCUAACUACGUG